GUUUACUGUGUCACUCGUACCGAUAACCGCAUCAGGUCUUCUAGGUAAGUAGCCUAUGGCCAUUGAGGCAUGAUAGUUCAGGGAAUUCGGCCAAUUAGAGCUGUAACUUCGGGAUAAAGCUUGGCUCUGAUGAAAAUCAGAACCGAUUGUUACGCGGAGAGCCCAACUGUUUAAUAAAAACGUAGUGUCGCGCUGUGGUAGUAUAGCCAGUGAACGCGACAUGAAUCCUGCUCAGUGCUGUGUCUGUUAAUAUGGUUCAAGCCAACGAAGCACCGGUAAAUAGCUGGGGUAACUAUGACUCUUAUCAAAGUAGCGAAAUACCUCGUCACUUAAUUAGUGACCUGCAUGAACGGAGCUAUGAGGUUCUCACUGUCCCAAACUGUCUCUCAGCGAACCAACUGUAGUGGGAACGGUCACUAGAUAUCCAGCGGGGAAAGAAGACCCUGUAGAGCUUCACUUUGGUCUAGUCUUGUAUAGUUCCUGCGGGGGUGUAGACUAGGUGGGAGAGCAAUCGAUUCUGAAAAACCACUACCCUGUUUGGAAUUAUGCUUACCUAUCACAAGGAAUAGGACUAGAUAGAAAGUUUGGCUGGGGCGGCACACCUUCGAAAGAGCAGCGAAGGUGUCCUAAGUUGAGCUCAGUGAGGACAGAAAUCUCACGUUGAGGAUAAGGCCAAAAGCUCAAUUUACUGUGCCUUUUUGUACUAGGAUCAGUUACGAAAGUAAGGCCUAACGAUCCCUAAAUAGCCUCAGGUGCGUGAGGAUUGGGGUGACAGACAAGUUACCUCCGGGACAACUGGCUUGUGGCUGCUAAGAGAUCAAAUCAACGCAGCUUUUUGAUUCUUCGAUGUCGGCUCUUCCUAUCCUAGUGAUGUACAAGUUGCUAAGGGUCGGAUUGUUCACCCGUAUUAGGGAUCGUGAGCUGGGUUUAGACCGUCGUGAGCCAGGUUUGUUUUAUCCUACUGGAUAUAGCAUCAUGAUAGUAGAUUGAUUUAGUACGAGAGGAACUGUUGAUUAUGGCCUCUGGUUAGCGAUUAUCGGAAACGGUAUGUCGCGCAGCUACGCCGUCUGGGAUAAUGGCUGAAAGCCUCUUAAGCCAGAAGCCCAUCUAGAAAGUGAUGCACGUGAUGUUGGACCGAUACGAAUAAUCAUACUCAAAAGGUCCGCUUCAUAGGUAACCCAAUGUAGAAGACAUUGUGUGAACGAAGGUACUGUAAGCAGUGGAGUGGCAUUACGUCCACGACCUGUUGAGGUUCAGCUUCGCUUCUAGGUUUCCAAAUAUUUU
This 1284-nucleotide ribosomal RNA is filed under the name Trichomonas vaginalis G3. RNAcentral describes it as "28S ribosomal RNA". It matches the Rfam family "Eukaryotic large subunit ribosomal RNA", at positions 1828 to 3401 of the family's 3401-position model. The record is from RNAcentral. Lineage: Eukaryota; Parabasalia; Trichomonadida; Trichomonadidae.